Molecule: non-coding RNA, 1417 nt
Organism: Cricetulus griseus (Chinese hamster)
Lineage: Eukaryota; Metazoa; Chordata; Mammalia; Rodentia; Cricetidae
Source: RefSeq, a predicted model, not a curated record
GUGGUGAGGCCUGGCUGGGUGGGGCGGCAGCCGCAGAGCCUUUGGAACGUCGUCGGGGGCGAGGCUUCUGGCUCACAGGAACCCAGCUCGGUGCUGGGUGUGGCCGCCCAGCUGCUGCUAGGGGCGGAGCUGGCCCAGGCCCGGCUUGGCUACAGGGACUGGCUGGGCCAGAUUCAGGCCCCCCCGGAACGUGCAGGCAGGCGGGAUGGGGUGCUCCGGACACGGAAAGAGGGUCUGCUCUGUCCAGAGCCCCUCGAAGCUGCAACUUGGUGUGUUGAAGGGCAGCUUGCUCGGCCUCAAAGGCCCUUUGGGCUGGGAGAGUUGGAGAACCAGAACGAUAGCAGUGGAUAACUGGGAUGGCGAGUCAAAUGUGGACAGGUCUAUCAGACCAAAAGGAGCACACAGGGACUUGAGAGAGGCCUUUUUCAGAGAAGUGCAUCGGUCACCCCGGAGGCUGUGGAGAAAGGAGGGGAGACGACGCACAAGAGAAGAUCCGAGACCUGAUCCUUCCGCUGUGUAAUUCCAAAGACUGGACAUAGCUUCCUUGCAUAGACUUUUGUCUGCAAAGUGAGAAUAUGAACAGCUGCCUGGCCAUCAUGUGGGAUAGCCCUUCCCUGGAAUACUCUCCCUCCAGUCACGCCACCUAGUAAAAACUGCGGUUAAUACCCUGCUGUCUUCGGGAAUUUAAAACGGAAACUAUAAUCACUUGUUUCUUCAAAAGUCAAGGUCUAAGAAUUUACCUCCUUCACUACCAUUCUGUUUAAAACAGUGUAUGAACCUUAAGUCUGGAUGGAGAUAAGGACUGCCUUGCUGUUAAUAAAAAUCAUGUCCUGAAACCAGUUCCUGUAUUGCUUCCACAUUGUAGUCUUGGGGAUUAGCCCCUUACUCAGGAAAAGCCCUCAGACAUCACUUCUUGUUAUCUCUCCUUGAAAAUGCCCUAAGGCCGUCUCUGGAGAUCCUCUCAUCUUGAGAGAAAACUCUUGCAGACCUAGAAACCACCAAAGGGUCCUGAGUGGACAGGCUCCUGAACAAACCAGGGCUGUGUUGACACAAGGAAAUGCCUCUCAGCAUUGAAAAGCAGCCGCUGCCAGGCAGCUGGCAUGGUAGGACGUUCUGGGAAGAAAUAUAUUUGUAUGGGAUAUAUAUGGACAGAAACAGAUCAGGAGUUACGAGUGGUUUUUAUUGGAGGUAGGGCUGAUACUAGGAGCAAAGGGCAGAAUAGGGAUGGGAUGAUGAGACUUCCCUCGAUCUUGAUUAUGAAGGUGGUUACACAAUGUGUGCUCAUCAGAAACCUACAUGGAUUAAUUUUGUUCUGUGAAGUGUCUCAAUAAAGCAGACUCGAAAACCAGUCUCAAUAAAGCAGACUUGAAAACCAGUCUCAAACAUGAACAAAGUGGAAUAAAGAGUUCUUAAACCA